Molecule: ribosomal RNA, 496 nt
Filed under: uncultured bacterium
Lineage: Bacteria
Description: partial 16S ribosomal RNA
Rfam family: Bacterial small subunit ribosomal RNA
Source: RNAcentral
AUGAACGCUGGCGGCGUGCCUAAUCCAUGCCAGUCGAGCGAACGGACGAGAAGCUUGCUUCUCUGAUGUUAGCGGCGGACGGGUGAGUAACACGUGGAUAACCUACCUAUAAGACUGGGAUAACUUCGGGAAACCGUAGCUAAUACCGGAUAAUAUUUUGAACCGCAUGGUUCAAAAGUGAAAGACGGUCUUGCUGUCACUUAUAGAUGGAUCCGCGCUGCAUUAGCUAGUUGGUAAGGUAACGGCUUACCAAGGCAACGACGCAUAGCCGACCUGAGAGGGUGAUCGGCCACACUGGAACUGAGACACGGUCCAGACUCCUACGGGAGGCAGCAGUAGGGAAUCUUCCGCAAUGGGCGAAAGCCUGACGGAGCAACGCCGCGUGAGUGAUGAAGGUCUUCGGAUCGUAAAACUCUGUUAUUAGGGAAGAACAUAUGUGUAAGUAACUGUGCACAUCUUGACGGUACCUAAUCAGAAAGCCACGGCUAACUACGUG